UUGGAGACAUAUUCCUCCAUCUAUGAGAAGGCAAAGCACAGCAUGGCGUAUUGGCUCGAAAGGUUGCCGACCGGACCUAGCCCCGGAGACGGUAACUAGUCUAUUCAAAUUGUGAAACUUCUUAUACCACGGUUAAACCCAAGAAGACAAGCACAUACUCGGGGUUCCUUUUUUUCUUAAUUUAUUAUUAUUUUUUUUCGUUGCUCGAGGUAUAAUUAAUGUAGCUUUUGCUAUAUCGAUUAUACUGAACUACUGUAAAUGGAAAAAAAAAAAAAAGAUUCAUUUAAUUACUUAUUCAAAUAAGUUGAUAAGCCA
Molecule: long non-coding RNA, 315 nt
Organism: Alnus glutinosa
Lineage: Eukaryota; Viridiplantae; Streptophyta; Magnoliopsida; Fagales; Betulaceae
Exons: 2
Source: RefSeq, a predicted model, not a curated record